GUCCUUAACCUCCUUAGAGACACGGACACUUCGGAAAGCGUUCUGCGGACAGUUAUCAAGAUGAUGAAUUGCAGUGAACACCAAGACACAAAAGGUUAGCUUAAUUUGCUCUUCUUUGUCAAGAUUUCUAAUGCUGAGCUGAGCUAGUUGAUUUGUAUUCCUUUCCUUCUAAUGCAUAUAUUUAGGAGUACUUAAAGUAAAGAAGCAGGCGAUCAGAGAAGGGCUGGAGAGGAAGAGGCAAUAUGAUGAUGGAAGCAGAGAUUGGAGUUUUGUGCUUUGAAGAUAGAGAAAGUGUCCUUAGCCAAAGGAUACAGGCAGCCACUACCAGCUGGAAAGCCAAGGAGAUGGAGUCUGCCCUAGAGUCUCCUGAAGAAACCAGCCCUGCUGACACCUCGGCUUUGACACAGUGGAACAGAUUUC
This 420-nucleotide long non-coding RNA is filed under the name Homo sapiens (human). RNAcentral's name for it is "HSALNT0325884". Lineage: Eukaryota; Metazoa; Chordata; Mammalia; Primates; Hominidae. The record is from RNAcentral.